RNAcentral lists this ribosomal RNA (253 nucleotides) under uncultured bacterium. RNAcentral's name for it is "partial 16S ribosomal RNA". It matches the Rfam family "Bacterial small subunit ribosomal RNA", at positions 524 to 776 of the family's 1533-position model. The record is from RNAcentral.
UACGGGGGGGGUAAGCGUUGUUCGGAAUUACUGGGCGUAAAGGGCGCGUAGGCGGCCGCCUAAGUCAGACGUGAAAUCCCUCGGCUUAACCGGGGAACUGCGUCUGAUACUGGAUGGCUUGAGAUUGGGAGAGGGAUGCGGAAUUCCAGGUGUAGCGGUGAAAUGCGUAGAUAUCUGGAGGAACACCGGUGGCGAAGGCGGCAUCCUGGACCAACACUGACGCUGAGGAGCGAAAGCCAGGGGAGCAAACGGG